GGGCUGCAGUAUAUUGACUGUACAAAGGUAGCAUAAUCAUUAGUCAUUUAAUUGAUGACUUGUAUGAAAGAUUGGAUGAAAUAUAAGCUGUCUCUUUAUUAUUUAUAGAAUUUAAUUUUUUAAUUAAAAAGUUAAAAUAAAUUAAAAAGACGAGAAGACCCUAUAGAGUUUUAUAUUUAAAUUAAUUAAGAUUAUUUAUAAAUUUUUUAAUUAAAAUUAAUUUAUAUAUUUUGUUGGGGUGACAAAAAAAUAAGAAUAACUUUUUUUAAAGAUUAACAUAUAUAAGUGAUUUAAUGAUCCAAUAUUAUUGAUUAUAAGAAAAAAUUACCUUAGGGAUAACAGCGUAAUUUUUUUUUUUAGUUCAAAUAAAAAAAAGAGUUUGCGACCUCGAUGUUGGAUUAAGAUAAAAUUUAAAUG
RNAcentral lists this ribosomal RNA (417 nucleotides) under Spodoptera ornithogalli (yellow-striped armyworm moth). RNAcentral describes it as "partial 16S ribosomal RNA". Lineage: Eukaryota; Metazoa; Arthropoda; Insecta; Lepidoptera; Noctuidae. The record is from RNAcentral.